Long non-coding RNA from Rattus norvegicus (Norway rat), 1602 nucleotides. Ensembl lists it as uncharacterized. The record is from Ensembl. NCBI's taxonomy places the organism in Eukaryota, Metazoa, Chordata, Mammalia, Rodentia, Muridae.
UUCCGGGUUGCCGGCCUGCGGCCUCUUGGGGCCUCCGAGCCGCAAGAAUUCCUCGAAGUUUUUCCUAGAACCUCACACUCUUUAAGUGCUCUCUGGGCGACCAGGAGGAGGCCUACUUGCCACAACUGCUGCUGGGCAGCUGUCUUCUGGAAUGUCGCGGGGCUGGGACCUUCCGCACCCCAGAGGCCCCAGCACCAUCGGAAAUACUGGGAGAGCUUGUAUGAGUGUUCCUAGCCCGAACUCAGGGCUAGUGUCUUUCAGGGCAGCGUUUUCAAAUGUGUUCUUUGUUGGUUUGGUUUGGGUUUUAAAUAUUUUUGAAGAUAUUUGGAUCGGUUUGGGCGAACGGCUUCAGUUAUAAAAUGAACGAGAGGGCUGGAGAGGGUAGAUAAUUUGGAAAAUGAGGAGAAGCCUUAUUCUUCGCUGUUAUCUGAUACAACCUUGUGUCUGGGCACACUUUUCUGUGAGACUCUAAUUAUUCUAACCAGCCGAGUUCGUUGAUUCGGUGUGCAAAAAAUCAUGAAUUGAAUGAUGUCAUAAAAUUCAAUACUGCUUUUUACAGUCCUGGUUAAGAAUUCUGUUCUUCAGUAGCCUUCAGUCCCAACAUUUCUUUUGUUCACAAAAAAAAUUUUUUUUCCUCCUGCAACCGCUUUUUUACAUACAAAUCUCCAAAAUCCUCUAUCUUUUCUCUCUUUUAUCAUCGGUAAUUAUGAUAGUUUUUAGUGCCCUUUAACCUGUUGGCAACAAGCAAAAGAAACUUAUUCUAGCUUACUACUGUUUCAUUCUCAGAUUCCAUUUAAUCAUAGGGAGAAAUUAAAGUCAAGGCCCAGAUCACAGGGGACCCAGGCACAUCCCUAUAGCUGAACAGCUUCAGUUGCAAACAGUUGCGUCCAGCCAUUUCAACGACAACUUUUCCAUCUUGCAGGGUCAACCAAGUUCAUGAUGCCAGGUGUAGGAACGAACAAGUAUCCCACUUCUCCAAAUGUUUUCUUAAUCGUCUGUUAACCAGUAAAGAAUAUAGAAAUUGCUGUUAUCUAAACCAAGAAAUCUAAUCAUGGACCUCUCUUGUUGAAAGAAUGACUACUACCUCCAUAAUGGCGACCAUCUAAAAGAUGCUUCUUUAUGAUGUGGCUCUCAUCGAUCCCUGCAGCCUCCUCUCCUCAUCCCAGCUGUUUCCAGCUGCAGGCUUCUGAAGUUUAUGUUCUAACCAUAGUGGACAAAUUUCACUUUCCCUAAUGAGGCACACAGGUCGUCGUUGCAGUUCUGUCCUGUUCACAGUUUUCGUGCUCUGUACACAUCUUUGUACUGAGCAUCCUUGAUGGCUGUUACCGUGUGUAUUUCUUCAUACAUGAGUUUCCAGCCCACAGUAACAGUACCUGAACUUUGGUGGCCUUUUCAAUCCUAGAAGUCAAACUCAUUGUCAAAGGUUUUGCAUUGUAGCAAGCUAAGGCAUGGAGCUGGAAUUUGACCUAAGCUUUGUGUCUACUCCUUUCCCCACAGUAACUCUUUGAUGGUUUGCAUAUGCUUGGCCUGGGAAGUGGCACUAUUAGAAGGUGUGGCCUCGUUGAGGAAGUGUGUCACUGUGGGGGUGGGCUUGCAGACCCU